Molecule: non-coding RNA, 378 nt
Organism: Odocoileus virginianus texanus
Lineage: Eukaryota; Metazoa; Chordata; Mammalia; Artiodactyla; Cervidae
Source: RefSeq, a predicted model, not a curated record
UUUUAUUCUCUUCCCUCUCUCCUCUUCCCUGAACAUCUUACAGGGAAAAAAAUUUUGAUGAAUUUUCUAAGCACCUUAAGGGUCUUGUUAAUCUUUAUAACCUUCCAGGGGACAACAAACUGAAGACUAAAAUGUACUUGGCUCUCCAAUCCUUAGAACAGGAUCUAUCUAAAAUGGCAGUUAUGUAUUGGAAAGCAACCAAUGCUGGUCCCUUGGAUAAGAUUCUUCAUGGAAGUGUUGGCUAUCUCACUCCAAGAAGCGGGGGUAUGUGAUGCUAUUUUGCUUGUUUAGAAAAAAACCUAAUUUUUAGUUGAAAUAUUACUACUUAAAAAUUUCAUCUUGGUUUUAUAAGCAGAAGGUGAAAUUCACUAGUCAUUU